CAGAAAUUAAGUGAAGACAAAAUUUGAGGGAAUGGUUGAUCUCAGUGUGAGAGGGAACAAAAGUGUAUAUACAACAUGGAAGUAUAUAUGGUUCUGCCUGAAUACACCCUUCCUGAGUUCUCUCGUGGUCAGAGGCUUUGAUACAUCACCAGAAACCUACCAUGCAAGGAAUUGCACAUGUGGUUGCUGGUGGAAGAAUAUGUCUUCAAAGCCAAAAGACUGUGCAGUGAUGUUGACCUUGAUAAACAGCUGUCUACAUUUUGGUUGUUUUGAACUCAUGUCUGUUUCCUAGAAUUAUGCACAUUGUGUUAAUUUUGUUAUUUAUUAGUUUUACUGCAAAACCUGUUGUGCCCACACAGGUAGUCAAUAUACUGAGAAACAUAGGUGGUAAGUAAAAUAGCUUUUAAAAUGGAUGACAUUUCAUUUGCUGUCUUUCUCCAGUGCCUGUAGAAACUAUAUUUUGAUAAUACAUAUUUUGCUUUAUGUACUGAAAAUUAAGGAAGAUGAAUUGUGUUUUUGCUGACCAACUUCUCUUUAUUUUAAUGACAAAUUUGAAAUGUUAUUAUAUAUGUUUCAAUGAGAAUUGGGACUUAAACCUUCCAUAUCAUGGAGCACUUACACACUUAAUGUGCAUGGAACACUUAAUGUGUAUAAACUUUCACAGUUUUUGUUGCUAAAUGCAUAUAUGUUUAUCUGUUAACGAUAAAUAAUUGUUUACAUAUCUAAAAUAAAAUAAAAUCAUAAUUAUCAUAAAAUAAAAGUAUAGCAGGUAAACCACCUACAUAAUAAUAAUUAAAAAAAAAAAAAAAAAAAAAAGGACAGCCUCUGGCAUGAUGCUAAGCAGAAUAUUUGCCAAGGACAUGAAUAUCAAAACAAGAUUGCUUUCAUACUAUUUUAUCCUCAUUACAAAUACUGGGUCUAAUAUGUUGAAUCUGUUUUUCCACGUCACUGUGUGUAACAUGGAAAACAUUAUUUGAAACACAAGAGAAACAAGAGAAAAGAAGUGGAACACCCAGCUCCCAAGCUACAGCCCAUGUUUUCUUUCUUUUUUUUUUUUUUUUUAUCAUGUACAUUCAUAUCACCUGUUUUGUCCUUGCUAAAAAAAAAAAAAAAAAAAAAAA
Molecule: long non-coding RNA, 1121 nt
Organism: Anas platyrhynchos (mallard)
Lineage: Eukaryota; Metazoa; Chordata; Aves; Anseriformes; Anatidae
Source: RefSeq, a predicted model, not a curated record